GAUGGCUCCUCUACACUAGAUAGAGGGUGAUGGCUCCUCUACACUAGAUAGAGGGUGAUGCCUGUCAGGAUGGGACCUUGCAUUGAGAGCUGUUUGUCCAGCUGAACGUCUCGCCAUUUGUCAAAGGUAAAUAUUGUCAAGCAGUUUUAGAAUCCUGACGUUAUUAUCGAUCGAUAAAUAUAUCAUGUAUAUCAAUAUAUAUAUCGAUUGCAUCUAUUAGUAGAUCAGAACAAUAACAAAUAGCAUUGUAACACAAUGUUCCAUAGGCUACACUAGAAAACAUUCUUUAUGGGAUUAAUUUACAUGAAAUGUGUAUUGUUGACAUCUUUGAGGUUACUGAUGGUUAUAGUAUUUACAUAUUCAUUAGUGAUGCUGUCCUUCGUAAUGGUUACUGAUGCUACUAGUAUUUACAUAUUCAUUAGUGAUGCUGUCCUUCAUAAUGGUUACUGAUGGUUAUAGUAUUUACAUAUUCAUUAGUGAUGCUAUCCUUCAUAAUGGUUACUGAUGGUUAUAGUAUUUACAUAUUCAUUAGUGAUGCUGUCCUUCAUAAUGGUUACUGAUGGUUAUAGUAUUUACAUAUUCAUUAGUGAUGCUGUCCUUCAUAAUGGUUACUGAUGGUUAUAGUAUUUACAUAUUCAUUAGUGAUGCUGUCCUUCAUAAUGGUUACUGAUGGUUAUAGUAUUUACAUAUUCAUUAGUGAUGCUGUCCUCCAUAAUGGUUACUGAUGGUUAUAGUAUUUACAUAUUCAUUAGUGAUGCUGUCCUUCAUAAUGGUUACUGAUGCUACUAGUAUUUACAUAUUCAUUAGUGAUGCUGUCCUUCAUAAUGGUUACUGAUGGUUAUAGUAUUUACAUAUUCAUUAGUGAUGCUGUCUUUCAUAAUGGUUACUGAUGCUACUAGUAUUUACAUAUUCAUUAGUGAUGCUGUCCUUCAUAAUGGUUACUGAUGCUACUGUUAUUUACAUAUUCAUUAGUGAUUCUGUCCUUCAUAAUGGUUACUGAUGGUUAUAGUAUUUACAUAUUCAUUAGUGAUGCUGUCCUUCAUAAUGGUUACUGAUGUACUGUUAUUUACAUAUUCAUUAGUGAUGCUGUCCUUCAUAAUGGUUACUGAUGCUACUAGUAUUUACAUAUUCAUUAGUGAUGCUGUCCUUCAUAAUGGUUACUGAUGCUACUAGUAUUUACAUAUUCAUUAGUGAUGCUGUCCUUCAUAAUGGUUACUGAUGGUUAUAGUAUUUACAUAUUCAUUAGUGAUGCUGUCCUUCAUAAUGGUUACUGAUGUACUGUUAUUUACAUAUUCAUUAGUGAUGCUGUCCUUCAUAAUGGUUACUGAUGCUACUAGUAUUUACAUAUUCAUUAGUGAUGCUGUCCUUCAUAAUGGUUACUGAUGCUACUAGUAUUUACAUAUUCAUUAGUGAUGCUGUCCUUCAUAAUGGUUACUGAUGCUGCUAUUAUUUACAUAUUCAUUAGUGAUGCUAUCCUUCAUAAUGGUUACUGAUGUACUGUUAUUUACAUAUUCAUUAGUGAUGCUGUCCUUCAUAAUGGUUACUGAUGCUACUAUUAUUUACAUAUUCAUUAGUGAUGCUAUCCUUCAUAAUGCUAUCCUCUACUAACACAGAGGACCAGGGGUCCACCCUACUACACAGAGGACCAGGGGUCCACCCUGCUAACACAGAGGACCAGGGGUCCACCCUACUAACACAGAGGACCAGGGGUCCACCCUGCUAACACAGAGGACCAGGGGUCCACCCUGCUAACACAGAGGACAAGGGGUCCACCCUGCUAACACAGAGGACCAGGGGUCCACCCUGCUAACACAGAGGACCAGGGGUCCACCCUGCUAACACAGAGGACCAGGGGUCCACCCUACUACACAGAGGACCAGGGGUCCACCCUGCUAACACAGAGGACCAGGGGUCCACCCUGCUAACACAGAGGACCAGGGGUCCACCCUGCUAACACAGAGGACCAGGGGUCCACCCUGCUAACACAGAGGACCAGGGGUCCACCCUGCUAACACAGAGGACCAGGGGUCCACCCUGCUAACACAGAGGACCAGGGGUCCACCCUGCUAACACAGAGGCGUGUGUGAAGGCUACCUGUGUCCUCCAUAACUUCAUGAGGACAGACACGUGGACCAGGAGGGGACCAGCAGCUCGACCGCCACGUGCCAGAGGAAAGGCCUGCUGCUCUGCAGGAUGUUGCCAGGAUGGGGGCCAACAGCGUUGCCCGGGAGACCAUCUGUGCGCGGGACACCUUCCUCUCCUACUCCCUGGCAACACCUCAUAGACUACACUAUGCACAAACAAAGGCUCUUUUAAGAGCCACCCACAUUGUAAUAAAACUGUUUGUUUUUUUACCAUUCUACUUCAGUGCUGUUCAGGUGUUUGUGGGUGUGUUUCUGUGUUCAGGUAAGGGGGAUGUCUGCACAAAACCCAAACAGGCUAUUUUAAGAGUGUCAGGUGUAUUACUGUGAGCUGUACACCUUUCACCUUCAAAGAAAAGGCAAGAGGACCAACCAUGGAGAAUAGUAAGACACUACAUUAUUGUGGAUAUAGUGUGUGUGUGCAUGUUCAGGUUAGGGUGAUGUCUGCACAAAACCAAAACAGACUCUUUUUAAAUACCGGCACAGAAAAGACCCGGUUGGUUUGUAUUUCUGAAAAUCCCUCAUGCUCGUUCCGGUCUAACGUUCUAAACACACUUCCUACCGGGUGGCGAUUUCCGGUCAGUCUAGUUGUUAUCGACGAUAUAACGCUACUACCACGAUGUCACAGUUUUUACUAGGUGUCUUCAGGACUCUAAUUAAUAUCAAUGAUGUACAUCGAAUUGUUUAAUCAGCCUCCGAGAUUCCAGCUAGCGAGAAUGAAAAGGGGUUGAAGAUGUAUACAGGAAGCUACUGUCACUAUGAAGGUGGGUACCAAGACAGAUGUAUACAGGAAGCUACUGUCACUAUGAAGGUGGGUACCAAGACAGAUGUAUACAGGAAGCUACUGUCACUAUGAAGGUGGGUACCAAGACAGAUGUAUACAGGAAGCUACUGUCACUAUGAAGGUGGGUACCAAGACAGAUGUAUACAGGAAGCUACUGUCACUAUGAAGGUGGGUACCAAGACAGAUGUAUACAGGAAGCUACUGUCACUAUGAAGGUGGGUACCAAGACAGAUGUAUACAGGAAGCUACUGUCACUAUGAAGGUGAGUACCAAGACAGAUGUAUAUAGGAAGCUACUGUCACUAUGAAGGUGGGUACCAAGACAGAUGUAUAUAGGAAGCUACAUAGACAACUAUGAAGGUGAGUACCAAGACAGAUGUAUAUAGGAAGAUACAUAGACAACUAUGAAGGUGAGUACCAAGACAGAUGUAUACAGGAAGCUACAUAGACAACUAUGAAGGUGGGUACCAAGACAGAUGUAUACAGGAAGCUACAUAGACAACUAUGAAGGUGGGUACCAAGACAGAUGUAUACAGGAAGCUACAUAGACAACUAUGAAGGUGGGUACCAAGACAGAUGUAUACAGGAAGAUACAUAGACAACUAUGAAGGAGAGUACCAAGACAGAUGUAUACAGGAAGCUACUGUCACUAUGAAGGUGGGUACCAAGACAGAUGUAUACAGGAAGCUACAUAGACAACUAUGAAGGUGAGUACCAAGACAGAUGUAUACAGGAAGCUACUGUCACUAUGAAGGUGGGUACCAAGACAGAUGUAUACAGGAAGAUACAUAGACAACUAUGAAGGUGAGUACCAAGACAGAUGUAUACAGGAAGAUACAUAGACAACUAUGAAGGUGGGUACCAAGACAGAUGUAUACAGGAAGCUACAUAGACAACUAUGAAGGUGAGUACCAAGACAGAUGUAUACAGGAAGAUACAUAGACAACUAUGAAGGUGAGUACCAAGACAGAUGUAUACAGGAAGCUACUGUCACUAUGAAGGUGGGUACCAAGACAGAUGUAUACAGGAAGCUACAUAGACAACUAUGAAGGUGAGUACCAAGACAGAUGUAUACAGGAAGAUACAUAGACAACUAUGAAGGUGAGUACCAAGACAGAUGUAUACAGGAAGAUACAUAGACAACUAUGAAGGUGGGUACCAAGACAGAUGUAUACAGGAAGCUACAUAGACAACUAUGAAGGUGGGUACCAAGACAGAUGUAUACAGGAAGCUACAUAGACAACUAUGAAGGUGAGUACCAAGACAGAUGUAUAUAGGAAGAUACAUAGA
This is a long non-coding RNA of Oncorhynchus nerka (sockeye salmon), 4214 nucleotides long. RefSeq lists it as uncharacterized. Lineage: Eukaryota; Metazoa; Chordata; Actinopteri; Salmoniformes; Salmonidae. The record is from RefSeq and is a predicted model, not a curated record. The transcript has 4 exons.